This 431-nucleotide ribosomal RNA is filed under the name uncultured bacterium. RNAcentral's name for it is "partial 16S ribosomal RNA". It matches the Rfam family "Bacterial small subunit ribosomal RNA", at positions 36 to 507 of the family's 1533-position model. The record is from RNAcentral.
CCCUCCCUCUUCCUUCCGGCCUAACACAUGCAAGUCGAGCGCCCUUUCGGGGGAGCGGCGGUCGGGUGAGUACCGCGUGGGAAUAUGCCCUUCUCUACGGAAUAGCCUCGGGAAACUGAGAGUAAUACCGUAUACGCCCUGUGGGGUAAAGAUUUAUCGGGGAAGGAUUAGCCCGCGUUGGAUUAGGUAGUUGGUGGGGUAAUGGCCUACCAAGCCGACGAUCCAUAGCUGGUUUGAGAGGAUGAUCAGCCACACUGGGACUGAGACACGGCCCAGACUCCUACGGGAGGCAGCAGUGGGGAAUCUUAGACAAUGGGGGCAACACUGAUCUAGCCAUGCCGCGUGAGUGAUGAAGGCCUUAGGGUUGUAAAGCUCUUUCAGCUGGGAAGAUAAUGACGGUACCAGCAGAAGAAGCCCCGGCUAACUCCGUG